UUGAUCCUGGCUCAGAACGAACGCUGGCGGCGUGGAUAAGACAUGCAAGUCGCACGGAGAAAAGAUAGUUUACUAGCUUUUCUGAGUGGCGCACGGGUGAGUAACACGUGAGCAACCUGCCUCUUAGUGGGGGAUAGCCCUGGGAAACCGGGAUUAAUACCGCAUAUCAUCGCAAGAUGAAAGCAGCAAUGCGCUAAGAGAGGGGCUCGCGGCCUAUUAGUUAGUUGGUGAGGUAACGGCUCACCAAGGCGAUGACGGGUAGCCGGUCUGAGAGGAUGUCCGGCCACACUGGAACUGAGACACGGUCCAGACACCUACGGGUGGCAGCAGUCGAGAAUCAUUCACAAUGGGGGAAACCCUGAUGGUGCGACGCCGCGUGGGGGAAGAAGGUCUUCGGAUUGUAAACCCCUGUCAUGUGGGAGCAAGCUAGCAAUAGUUGAUAGUACCACAAGAGGAAGAGACGGCUAACUCUGUGCCAGCAGCCGCGGUAAUACAGAGGUCUCAAGCGUUGUUCGGAAUCACUGGGCGUAAAGGGUACGUAGGCUGUACCAUAAGUCGGGCGUGAAAGGCA
Molecule: ribosomal RNA, 571 nt
Filed under: uncultured bacterium
Lineage: Bacteria
Description: bacterial SSU rRNA
Rfam family: Bacterial small subunit ribosomal RNA
Source: RNAcentral